This 372-nucleotide ribosomal RNA is filed under the name uncultured organism. RNAcentral describes it as "partial 16S ribosomal RNA". It matches the Rfam family "Bacterial small subunit ribosomal RNA", at positions 527 to 896 of the family's 1533-position model. The record is from RNAcentral.
GUAGGUGGCAAGCGUUGUCCGGAAUUAUUGGGCGUAAAGCGCGCGCAGGCGGUUCUUUAAGUCUGAUGUGAAAGCCCACGGCUCAACCGUGGAGGGUCAUUGGAAACUGGAGAACUUGAGUACAGAAGAGGAAAGCGGAAUUCCACGUGUAGCGGUGAAAUGCGUAGAGAUGUGGAGGAACACCAGUGGCGAAGGCGGCUUUCUGGUCUGUAACUGACGCUGAGGCGCGAAAGCGUGGGGAGCAAACAGGAUUAGAUACCCUGGUAGUCCACGCCGUAAACGAUGAGUGACUAAGUGGUUAGGGGGUUUCCGCCCCCUUAGUGCUGCAGCUAACGCAUUAGCACUCCGCGUGGGAGUGCGGCCGCAAGGCUG